Molecule: ribosomal RNA, 628 nt
Filed under: uncultured bacterium
Lineage: Bacteria
Description: bacterial SSU rRNA
Rfam family: Bacterial small subunit ribosomal RNA
Source: RNAcentral
ACGCUGGCGGCAGGCCUAACACAUGCAAGUCGAGCGGCAGCACGGGUACUUGUACCUGGUGGCGAGCGGCGGACGGGUGAGUAAUGCCUAGGAAUCUGCCUGGUAGUGGGGGAUAACGCUCGGAAACGGACGCUAAUACCGCAUACGUCCUACGGGAGAAAGCAGGGGACCUUCGGGCCUUGCGCUAUCAGAUGAGCCUAGGUCGGAUUAGCUAGUUGGUGGGGUAAUGGCUCACCAAGGCGACGAUCCGUAACUGGUCUGAGAGGAUGAUCAGUCACACUGGAACUGAGACACGGUCCAGACUCCUACGGGAGGCAGCAGUGGGGAAUAUUGGACAAUGGGCGAAAGCCUGAUCCAGCCAUGCCGCGUGUGUGAAGAAGGUCUUCGGAUUGUAAAGCACUUUAAGUUGGGAGGAAGGGCAGUUACCUAAUACGUAUCUGUUUUGACGUUACCGACAGAAUAAGCACCGGCUAACUCUGUGCCAGCAGCCGCGGUAAUACAGAGGGUGCAAGCGUUAAUCGGAAUUACUGGGCGUAAAGCGCGCGUAGGUGGUUUGUUAAGUUGAAUGUGAAAUCCCCGGGCUCAACCUGGGGAACUGCAUGCAAAACUGGCAAGCUAGAGUAUGGUA